UCCUACGGGAGGCAGCAGUAGGGAAUCUUCCACAAUGGGCGAAAGCCUGAUGGAGCAACGCCGCGUGAGGGAGGAAGGUACAGAGUAUCGUAAACCUCUUUUGUCAGGGAACAAAGGCGGGGACGUGUCCCCGGAUGAGUGUACCUGAAGAAAAAGCAUCGGCUAACUCCGUGCCAGCAGCCGCGGUAAUACGGAGGAUGCGAGCGUUAUCCGAAUUUAUUGGGUUUAAAGGGUGCGCAGGCGGUCUGUUAAGUCAG
RNAcentral lists this ribosomal RNA (257 nucleotides) under uncultured bacterium. RNAcentral's name for it is "partial 16S ribosomal RNA". It matches the Rfam family "Bacterial small subunit ribosomal RNA", at positions 337 to 591 of the family's 1533-position model. The record is from RNAcentral.